This is a non-coding RNA of Coniophora puteana RWD-64-598 SS2, 100 nucleotides long. NCBI's taxonomy places the organism in Eukaryota, Fungi, Basidiomycota, Agaricomycetes, Boletales, Coniophoraceae. The record is from the annotation of a RefSeq genome assembly.
GGCCCAGUGGUCUAGUAGUAUGAUACUCGCUUCGGGUAACACCCCCGCACUUGGUGUGGAAGCAUGUGAGUGGUCCCGGGUUCAAUUCCCGGCUGGGCCC